GAGGGUAUAGCUCAAGUGGUAGCUCAUGGUUAGCAUGCAUGAGGUCCUGGGUUCAAUCCCCAGUACCUCCU
Molecule: transfer RNA, 71 nt
Filed under: Camelus ferus (Wild Bactrian camel)
Lineage: Eukaryota; Metazoa; Chordata; Mammalia; Artiodactyla; Camelidae
Rfam family: tRNA
About the family: Transfer RNA (tRNA) molecules are approximately 80 nucleotides in length. Their secondary structure includes four short double-helical elements and three loops (D, anti-codon, and T loops).
Source: Rfam by way of RNAcentral